UACGUAUGGAGCAAGCGUUAUCCGGAUUUACUGGGUGUAAAGGGAGCGUAGGCGGUAAGGCAAGUCUGAUGUGAAAGCCCGGGGCUCAACCCCGGGACUGCAUUGGAAACUGUUUAACUAGAGUGUCGGAGAGGUAAGUGGAAUUCCUAGUGUAGCGGUGAAAUGCGUAGAUAUUAGGAGGAACACCAGUGGCGAAGGCGGCUUACUGGACGAUAACUGACGCUGAGGCUCGAAAGCGUGGGGAGCAAACAGG
RNAcentral lists this ribosomal RNA (253 nucleotides) under uncultured bacterium. RNAcentral's name for it is "partial 16S ribosomal RNA". It matches the Rfam family "Bacterial small subunit ribosomal RNA", at positions 524 to 776 of the family's 1533-position model. The record is from RNAcentral.